AACAUUCGAGGCUAAUAUCUACGACUACUAAGUAUAUCGACUAGCAAAUAUACAAAUUCCCUUAAUACAAUUAUACAAUCCAAAUUAUCCCUAAUACUUCUCAUCUCUUCUUGGAUCCCUGGCACGUACUGGACAUGGCUGAGGCGGUUGGGUAGCGGCCAUGGCGCGGGUCAUCAGCUACGCACAUCAUGUUCUUUGGCAUCUCACGUCUGCUGGGUGAGCUCAGGGACAGCAAACGCACGAGAUUGCUGAGAGCCAAGAGAAGUGAAAGGGGCAAGCGUGACUAUGAAAGAGUGCGGUUGGGGGAAGGGGACGAGCUCGACGGAGAUUGGUAAACAAAAAAGUAUAUUGGAAAUUAGGAUUAAUCAAGUAAAUAUCUUGUAAAAAACCUCGUGUUAUUUUCUCGGUUGUGUUCUGUUAUUCAUUUGUUGGCCGCCACAUUUUUGUAUGAUGUUAUUUUGUUUGUUGGCCACCAGAUUUUUGUUCCUUUUUCUUUCUCACUUAGAAAAUGGCCACUGCAUGCAUAUGUAUACAUGCUUUCAGAUAAUACUACCGAGUAUCAGAGUUGAAUUUUUUCCUCUCAUAACAUAUUCCUUUAUUUAAAGAGAAUGUGGCAUUGUAAGGUUCUUCCAUAGUCUCCGAGACCUUCGAGGAUGGGAACACUGAGGAGGUGAAGUAUCUCUUUUCUCACCCUUCUUCGUUCUAUGUCUAUAAUCUAUGCACUCUCUCUCUUUAUUCAUUCGAAGAUGGAUCUUCGUCUCGGUCAUGAGCUUUAGACCCUAUAACGAGCUCAGGCUCCCUCCGUUCUCGGCUCCCUCCUGCAAUGAAGAUUGGAGAUGUGAAGCUCGCGCUCAGACCAAUCCCAUGUCUGAGAUCCAAAUGAAGAAGUGGGGAGAUGGGAAGAGAGAAAGAAAAUGUGUUUGUGUUGUGCAGAGUUGGAGGGGGCCGACUGAGGGCGAUGACGGCGGGGAGGAGGUUAGCCUUUGGACGCCCAUGUGCCAUCGGAAGCCCGACUGCCGGCGGGGACAGGGUGGGACUAGCUGAUGCAGAAGAGUGAGAAGGGCAAAGGAAUAGAGAGGGAAAUGGGGCAGAUUUGCAAAUAUAGAAAAAAAGUGAGUAAACUAGCAAAUUGGUUCUCAAGAGAUUGAGUUUGUCAAAAAUGCACCUCGACCCAUUCGAGGAAGGGGAUGGAUCUGCGGUGGGGGCAACCCGUUCGGCACCGCCCCUAGGCGGCCUCACCGCAAGCGUUGGAAGCUCCCGGCGAGGUCGACUUGUGAGGCAGCGGCCAGGCGAAGGAAAAUAUAAGCCAUUGGUGGUCUCCUCAUGGAAGAAGUCGGUCAUGGAAACCGUGUCCGGUAAAUUAGUGUCGCACCGAUUUUGAUUCGGAGAGAGAAAAUGGGGGCAGAAUAGAUCAGAGGUGUGGCACCAACACUGGCAACUGCCAACCUUGCCGGAUGCAUGGGAAACCUCAGGCGAGGUUGCCUGGGGGCCGGUUGCGAGGUACGCGUCAAGGUGAAAGAUGCAAGCAUAACAACAGUUUUAGCGGGUAAUUACUUAUUUUAUUCGGGCACUCACAUAGUUAUUUAUUAUACAGAGGACUAAUUACAAAAAAUAAAACAAGGACUAUUUACAAUUAACUCCCUAAUCUAUCUUUAUUUGAUAUAUUUAACGUAGGUACUGACAACCUAUUCUCUUGUUAUGUUGAAUUUUAUUGAGCAAGGUUUGACUGUGAAUUGAUGGCGUGCAUGGAGACGACGUUAUGUUGCAUGAAGAACAUGGAGAAAUUCAUUGGAUCUGAAUCUGAAUGUUUAUUUUGCAGCAGCAACUCAAUUAGUCCAUUUAAUGAAUGUUUAUCGAUUAUAUAUGUGCAAGUAUUAUUGACAAAUGACGAUUUUAUUUGCCUUAGAUUUGUUUUCUAUAAGACCAUUUGCACUUCUAUUUAGCAUUUCGUUUUUAAAUGUAAA
Non-coding RNA from Punica granatum (pomegranate), 1964 nucleotides. The record is from RefSeq and is a predicted model, not a curated record. Lineage: Eukaryota; Viridiplantae; Streptophyta; Magnoliopsida; Myrtales; Lythraceae.